Molecule: ribosomal RNA, 255 nt
Filed under: uncultured bacterium
Lineage: Bacteria
Description: partial 16S ribosomal RNA
Rfam family: Bacterial small subunit ribosomal RNA
Source: RNAcentral
UACAGAGGGGGCAAGCGUUUAUUCGGAAUUAUUGGGCGUAAAGGGCGCGUAGGCGGCUUGGCAAGUGGAUGGUGAAAUCCCUCGGCUUAACCGAGGAACUGCCGUCCAAACUGCUUGGCUUGAGACCAGGAGAGGUGAGUGGAAUUCCCAGUGUAGAGGUGAAAAUUCGUAGAUAUUCGGAAGAACACCAGUGGCGAAGGCGGCUCACUGGACCGGCAUUGACGCUGAGGUGCGAAAAGCGUGGGGAGCAAACAG